UACGUAGGGCGCGAGCGUUGUCCGGAUUUAUUGGGCGUAAAGAGCUCGUAGGCGGCUCGUUGCGUCGGCUGUGAAAACCCGCAGCUCAACUGUGGGCUUGCAGCUGAUACGGGCGGGCUGGGAUUCGGUAGGGGAGACUGGAAUUUCUGGUGUAGCGGUGAAAUGCGCAGAUAUCAGGAGGAACACCGGUGGCGAAGGCGGGUCUCUGGGCCGAUAUCGACGCUGAGGAGCGAAAGCGUGGGGAGCGAACAGG
RNAcentral lists this ribosomal RNA (253 nucleotides) under uncultured bacterium. Its description in RNAcentral is "partial 16S ribosomal RNA". It matches the Rfam family "Bacterial small subunit ribosomal RNA", at positions 524 to 776 of the family's 1533-position model. The record is from RNAcentral.